GAUGAAGAACGUAGCGAAAUGCGAUAAGUAAUGUGAAUUGCAGAAUUCAGUGAAUCAUCGAAUCUUUGAACGCACAUUGCGCCCGCCAGUAUUCUGGCGGGCAUGCCUGUUCGAGCGUCAUUACAACCCUCAGGCCCCCGGGCCUGGCGUUGGGAUCGGCGGAAGCCCCCUGUGGGCACACGCCGUCCCUCAAAUACAGUGGCGGUCCCGCCGCAGCUUCCAUUGCGUAGUAGCUAACACCUCGCAACUGGAGAGCGGCGCGGCCAUGCCGUAAAACACCCAACUUCUGAAUGUUGACCUCGAAUCAGGUAGGAAUACCCGCUGAACUUAAGCAUAUCAAUAAGCGGAGGA
This 351-nucleotide unclassified non-coding RNA is filed under the name soil metagenome. RNAcentral's name for it is "partial contains 5.8S ribosomal RNA, internal transcribed spacer 2, and large subunit ribosomal RNA". The stretch from base 1 to 120 matches the Rfam family "5.8S ribosomal RNA", at positions 35 to 154 of the family's 154-position model. The record is from RNAcentral.